CAAUUCCGCUUUUAAAGACAGUGUGACGUCAAACCUGACCGCAAGAAAAACGACGAACUCUGCCGUGUGGAAAGUUUAACAACAAUCGCACACCGGAGAUACUGGCACCCCCAGAGAAGGUUAACUUGCGAGAAUCAUUAAUAAAAGCAACUCACGGAGAGAACACCUCCGUUUGUAACAUUCUUGUAAGGAAUGCGGUGCUUCCUUCUGGGGGUUGGAGCCGGUUCAUAAGCUGGUAAUAAGCGUGAUCUGUGGUUUUACCCAUAAUAGCUCAUUAGUAAAUUGCUGCAGAAUUGCAAUGCCUCGCUUGGCACUCUACCGUUCAAGCUGAUAUCGAUGCACGAGCAGGCUGAGCUAUCGCUAUAGAUACAGGAGGACAAACUGGACUAUAAAUAGAAGGCGUACCUGUGAGUGAGUUGGGGGAUGCGGCGAAGCUUGAAAAUCGGUCUAACGAGCCAAAGGACGAAGCCUCCGCCUCGUAGUGCUUGCUUGACCCGGGAGUCUCUCAGGACAUAGCCUGAACUCUGACGAGAUAUAAAACCAAUCAACAGUGGAGGCAGGCGAGAGAUGUCUAAUCUCUAAUUACUCUACAAGCUAUCGACUCGAAUGGUCAUCAACGACAUGAUAGCACUGUACACUGGUGCGCUGUAUUUACAUACCAAUGAAUGCCGCUUGAUUACAUGCACUCUAAGUCAAAUUAAACACGAAUUUGCAUGGAGUGAUUUCAUGCUUAACUCACUAGAGCAGAGCAUUCACCUAUCAUAGGCAGCACUGAGUUGACAAACGUGGAGCCGCGGUACAUUGAUCUAAUCCAGUGGUCGUCACUUAUUUGCUCAUCGAGCGUCUAGACAGCGGUAAACGAAAUUUAAUAGAGAGCAUUUGGUCCACAAAGGGCCGAUAAUAAGUUGAGACGAUGGUUAAUAGGUAUAAAAGAUAGCGAUAUGUAAACAAU
Molecule: long non-coding RNA, 952 nt
Organism: Nematostella vectensis (starlet sea anemone)
Lineage: Eukaryota; Metazoa; Cnidaria; Anthozoa; Actiniaria; Edwardsiidae
Exons: 2
Source: RefSeq, a predicted model, not a curated record